CGAUGAUGGAAACUGGAAAGCUGAAGAAACUGAAACUGAACAGACGGAACUGAGAUCACUUGUGAGAUUAAUUUACUUGAAUGUUUUAAAUAUUUCACUAAAUGUUCCUAAGCGGAAGUCUUUGUGGCCUGAGUCUAUCUAGGGUUACAAUCUAAAUUGUGGGAUAGUUUCAUCCACUUCUCGUGUUAAACAAUAGCUGUUUUUCAACAUAAAUUGGAAUAUGGUAUGUACACUGACUUUGAUACUAAAUACACAGUGUAAAGGGGUAUUGGGGGAAGUAUUCCCCUCGUGUUCCUGGCACGCUUCGAUUACUGCACUCGGACGCGGCGGGUUAAGCCACAAAAGCAUUUUUGCAGCAUUGGAUGAGUUGCCUCCGCGAAGCACACCCCCUCCGAAGGCCCCGCCGCCCAUGGCUCUAAUGCUGGGCCUGGCCAAGGGUUAACUCCGAUGACGUCAAUGGCGGUGCUUGUCAAACGCAUGCAGGGGUUUUCAGGUUUAAGGUUUAAGGCUGCAGGGGGGCGUGCUGCUGACACAUUGCAACAUGCAACAAGCGGGCUCAACAACACACAAAGCCGAAGCUGCAAAAAUUCAGCCAUGCUGAAACUUCCUGUUGACGUCGUCAACAUAGUUGGCAGUUGGCCGUGUUGCUGCUGAUGCUGCUGCUGCUGCUAUUUCUGCAGUUUCUGGUGCAGCUGCAGGUUAAGGGUCAGCAGAAGGGGUUCGACUGGAGGGAGGUCACCGCUGCCCCGAAAGUAAAAACUUGCUCUCCUUUGUUGGCCCCAAAAUGUUCGUGCUCCAGUGGCUGGCUGAUGGCUUGUUGCAACGCUUAAUGGCCCAACUUUGCCGCAGACAAUUUUCCCUCUUUCGGAUGAGUUUAUUAAUUUAAUUUCAGCACCAAAAGUCCCUCUUUCUGCGCUUUAUCUGUAACAGGCGCCUGACGACAGGAGAGCAAAUGGAAAUCCUGUGGAAACGGAUUAUGUUCAGCGUUUCACAUCCCUUAAUGAAGUUAAACUUAAAACACAACAGUAAAGUAGACUAAUGGGCUUGUAUUAACCUUAAUCAAUUUUCUGGUGGACCACCGUAUUUUGUUUUAAAUAUUUACUUUGGCAAUGGAACUUUAUCUUUUAGAAUUGGUUUGAGUAUACUAUGAUCAAUAUACGAUAUAUUGUAGAUUUAUAAACUCCACAAUGUAUGAAUUAAUUAAACAAUUAAGAUAUUUUUUUUAAUUAAAAAACAGUUAGCAACCAUUAAAAAAGCUGUUAGUAUUAAGGUUUUCGGUAGGCAUUCCUAAGACAACCAAUCACUUCCGUCCCACUUUCCACUGUAUAAUAAAAUUGAUUGUACAUAUAUGCAAUGCAA
This is a long non-coding RNA of Drosophila subpulchrella, 1359 nucleotides long. RefSeq lists it as uncharacterized. NCBI's taxonomy places the organism in Eukaryota, Metazoa, Arthropoda, Insecta, Diptera, Drosophilidae. The transcript is spliced from 2 exons. The record is from RefSeq and is a predicted model, not a curated record.